Molecule: ribosomal RNA, 372 nt
Filed under: uncultured organism
Description: bacterial SSU rRNA
Rfam family: Bacterial small subunit ribosomal RNA
Source: RNAcentral
CAGAGGGUGCGAGCGUUGUCCGGAAUCACUGGGCGUAAAGGGCGCGUAGGUGGCCCGACAAGUCAAUGGUGAAAGUUCGACGCUCAACGUCGAAUCGGCCAUCGAUACUGUUGGGCUGGAGCACUGUAGAGGCUCAUGGAAUUCCGGGUGUAGCGGUGGAAUGCGUAGAGAUCCGGAAGAACACCGGUGGCGAAGGCGGUGAGCUGGGCAGUUGCUGACACUGAGGCGCGACAGCGUGGGGAGCAAACAGGAUUAGAUACCCUGGUAGUCCACGCCGUAAACGAUGGGCACUAGAUGCUUGGGGGAGCGACCCCCUGAGUGUCGACGCUAACGCAUUAAGUGCCCCGCCUGGGGAGUACGGCCGCAAGGCUG